CCUUAUCCGACCUCCGUUGGGUAGGGGAGCAUUGCACUGGCCUGUGAAGGUAGACCGAGAGGACUGCUGGAGGUUGUGCAAGGGAUUAUGCUGACAUGAGUAACGAUAAAGCGGGUGAGAAUCCCGCUCGCCGUAAGCCUAAGGUUUCCUGGGUAAAGGUCGUCUGCCCAGGGUAAGUCGGUCCCUAAGGUGAGGCCGAGAGGCGUAGCUGAUGGGAAACAGGUUAAUAUUCCUGUACCACCGGGGAAGCGUUUGAGCGAUGGGGGGACGCAGGAGGGUAGGCCAUCCGGGUGAUGGAAGUCCCGGUACAAGCUGGUAGGCGGGGGGUUUAGGCAAAUCCGGACCCUUGUAUAACGCCGAGAGGUGAUGUGGAGGGCGCAAGCCCAUAAACUGGUUGAUCCCAUACUGCCAAGAAAAGCCUCGUAGCGAGUUUUCCAGGUGACCGUACCGCAAACCGACACAGGUAGGCGAGGAGAGAAUCCUCAGGCGCGUGAGAGAACCCUGGUUAAGGAACUCGGCAAAAUGACACCGUAACUUCGGGAGAAGGUGUGCCCUCAUUAGGUGAAGAUACUUGCUAUUGGAGCUGAAGGGGGUUGCAGAGAAGAGGCGGUAGCGACUGUUUACUAAAAACACAGGACUCUGCUAAAUCGCAAGAUGACGUAUAGGGUCUGACGCCUGCCCGGUGCUGGAAGGUUAAGGGGUGGUGUUAUCGGGGGCAACCUUGAGAAGCGCUGAACCGAAGCCCCAGUAAACGGCGGCCGUAACAAUAACGGUCCUAAGGUAGCGAAAUUCCUUGUCGGGUAAGUUCCGACCUGCACGAAUGGCGUAACGACUUCCGCGCUGUCUCAACCAGGGACUCAGUGAAAUUGCAGUCUCGGUGCAGAUACCGAGUACCCGCGGCUAGACGGAAAGACCCCGUGCACCUUUACUACAGCUUGGCAUUGGAUUUUGGGCGUGUAUGUGUAGGAUAGGUGGGAGGCAAUGAAGUGGGGGCGCCAGCCUUCAUGGAGCCAGCGUUGAAAUACCACCCUUAUGCGUUUAGAGUUCUAACCUGGAUGAGUGAACCCUCAUUGGGGACAGUGCCUGGUGGGUAGUUUGACUGGGGCGGUCGCCUCCCAAAAGGUAACGGAGGCGCGCGAAGGUUCCCUCAGGCUGAUUGGAAACCAGCCGUAGAGUGUAAAGGCAGAAGGGAGCCUGACUGUGAGAGAGACAUUUCGAGCAGGGACGAAAGUCGGUCUUAGUGAUCCGGCGGUUCUGAAUGGAAGGGCCGUCGCUCAACGGAUAAAAGGUACGCCGGGGAUAACAGGCUGAUCUCCCCCAAGAGUUCACAUCGACGGGGAGGUUUGGCACCUCGAUGUCGGCUCAUCGCAUCCUGGGGCUGGAGCAGGUCCCAAGGGUUCGGCUGUUCGCCGAUUAAAGCGGUACGUGAGCUGGGUUUAAAACGUCGUGAGACAGUUUGGUCCCUAUCUACCGUGGGCGCAGGAAUUUUGAGGGGUACUGUCCCUAGUACGAGAGGACCGGGAUGGACGAACCUCUGGUGUACCAGUUGUCACGCCAGUGGCAGCGCUGGGUAGCUAAGUUCGGACGGGAUAACCGCUGAAAGCAUCUAAGCGGGAAGCCUUCCCCAAGAUGAGAAUUCCCCUCCGGAGCGAUCCGGGCUGAAGGCCCCUUGAAGACCACAAGGUUGAUAGGUCGGGUGUGUAAGCACAGUAAUGUGUUGAGCUAACCGAUCCUAAUGGGCCGUGCGGCUUGACCAU
Molecule: ribosomal RNA, 1757 nt
Filed under: metagenome
Description: bacterial LSU rRNA
Rfam family: Bacterial large subunit ribosomal RNA
Source: RNAcentral